RNAcentral lists this long non-coding RNA (1494 nucleotides) under Equus caballus (horse). RNAcentral describes it as "lncRNA (ENSECAG00000056573.1)". The record is from RNAcentral. Lineage: Eukaryota; Metazoa; Chordata; Mammalia; Perissodactyla; Equidae.
GCUUUCUUUGCGCUCAUGCCAGAACAUUAUCAUGGGAAGAGUCUUGAACAGGGCUCAGAAAAUGAUCUUCACACCUCAGUCCCUUUUAGAGACCCGUUGGAAGCCAGUGUUUCUAUCUAGGCAGCCACUGGAACAUUUACUUUUAUUAACUUUGCUGCGCAUGCUCCUUCCUCUGUUUAGCAUCCUCUCCUCCCGGCUCAGCCCUGGAACAUUCCCAGGUGGGGGAUGGCCUGGUCAGGAGUCAGGCUCAGGGCUUCGGCUCGACUCGUAAAUGUGGAAAUAACAAAAUGUGUCCCCUGAAGCUUUGCAGCGUUGUCAGGAAAUGGGCUGCUUGCAUGCUGCACUUCCAUGGAUCUGGAAAUUCUGCUGAGCUUGGGUCGACUCCAGAAAAAAGUUUAAAAGUGUUCAGGGAAGGGAGGAAUGAAAGCGGGCCAUUAACUGGAGCCACCACCCGCGCUCCUGCUGAGUCUGGGUCUUGGCCGGCUCCUUGGCAGGGAGCAAGGCUGGAGCGCGGCUUGUGGACUGUGGCGGCGGAGUUUGCUUUUCUAAGGAUCAGGGCUUUGCAGAAACUUUCCUUCCCACAUUUUUCAUAUCUCAGAAAUCUGCGUGGCACCCUUGGGAAGGAGUAGGGGCUAGGUACUGUUUCCGCCUGGAAGAAAACAAGCCACAGAGAGGUAGAAACUUAGAACUUCCAAGGGUGCGCCUCUUCUGCUUUGAGCACCAGUUGUGAAACCGAAGCCGGGAUUAAACUGUGAAAUGUCAGCGGAUGGUCUGGAGUCUUCUGGAGUAAAUUCCUGCACACUUUAGAUAACUAGAAGCAAAUAUGACAUGACCUUGAGGUCCACCACCAUUUUAGGAAGAGUGGGCACAUCUGAAUUCCAAUUCAACGCUCUCGUGAUAUAUUCUCAUGAAGAAAAAAGAAAUCCUGCUCAUGCAGAGGAGUUAAGUGUUCUCCUUUGUUGCCUUAACACCUGCCAUGUCCUCGGAUCUCACCUUCUAAUCCAAGCAGUGCAUCAAGGGUUUCUUCCUGGCCUAUUUGAGCUUGAACGCUCUCUGGGCUCAGGUCACAUGAAGACAUUAUCAUCACCUCAUUGUUCAAAGCACCUGAUCGUAGAACCUGGCGGGUGAACAAUUGCUGAAUGACAAACGCCGAAUUUUGAUGACUCCCAUGUUCUCAGCUUCCUUGGAAACUCAGUGAAGCCACAUGGCUAAACUCAGGCCAAUAAGAUGUCAACAGAAUUGGGUGCUACCUUAGAAAGUGUCUUUUAAAGGGAUUGUUCACACAGUCCCUUGCUCCUCCCUUCAUUCUCCUGCCUGGAAUGCAGAUUUGAUGUGUGGAGUCCUAGCAGCCAUUUUGGAUCAUGAGUACAUGCACCGCUUUCUAGGGAUAGGAGAGCAAGGAGAUGAAAGGAGCCACCAUGUUACCUCGGGAUGCCUACCUCCUGACUUUUUUCACAUGAAUGAAGAAUAAACUUCUAUCUUGUUUAAAUAAAC